AUACGGAGGGUGCAAGCGUUACUCGGAAUCGCUGGGCGUAAAGCGCGCGCAGGCGGCUUGGUAAGUUGGAUGUGAAAGCCUACGGCUCAACCGUAGAACUGCAUCCAAAACUGCCAAGCUAGAGUGGGGGAGAGGAAGAUGGAAUUAGUUGUGUAGGGGUAAAAUCCGUAGAGAUAACUAGGAAUACCAAAAGCGAAGGCAAUCUUCUGAAACACUACUGACGCUGAGGCGCGAAAGCGUGGGGAGCAAACAGGAUUAGAAACCCCAGUAGUCC
This 274-nucleotide ribosomal RNA is filed under the name uncultured bacterium. RNAcentral's name for it is "partial 16S ribosomal RNA". It matches the Rfam family "Bacterial small subunit ribosomal RNA", at positions 523 to 796 of the family's 1533-position model. The record is from RNAcentral.